This 301-nucleotide ribosomal RNA is filed under the name uncultured bacterium. RNAcentral describes it as "bacterial SSU rRNA". It matches the Rfam family "Bacterial small subunit ribosomal RNA", at positions 505 to 804 of the family's 1533-position model. The record is from RNAcentral.
GUGCCAGCAGCCGCGGUAAUACGUAGGGUGCGAGCGUUAAUCGGAAUUACUGGGCGUAAAGCGUGCGCAGGCGGUUUUGUAAGACAGGCGUGAAAUCCCCGGGCUCAACCUGGGAACUGCGCUUGUGACUGCCAGGCUAGAGUACGGCAGAGGGUGGUGGAAUUCCACGUGUAGCGGUGAAAUGCGUAGAGAUGGGGAGGAACACCAGUGGCGAAGGCAGCCGCCUGGGCCGAUACUGACGCUCAUGUGCGAAAGCGUGGGGAGCAAACAGGAUUAGAUACCCUGGUAGUCCACCGCCUAA